CCUACGGGGGCUGCAGUGGGGAAUAUUGGACAAUGGGCGAAAGCCUGAUCCAGCCAUUCCGCGUGUGUGAAGAAGGCCUUCGGGUUGUAAAGCACUUUCAGUGGGGAAGAAAGCCUUGGGGCUAAUACCCUCGAGGAAGGACAUCACCCACAGAAGAAGCACCGGCUAACUCCGUGCCAGCAGCCGCGGUAAUACGGAGGGUGCGAGCGUUAAUCGGAAUUACUGGGCGUAAAGCGCGCGUAGGCGGUCUGAUAAGCCGGUUGUGAAAGCCCCGGGCUCAACCUGGGAACGGCAUCCGGAACUGUCAGGCUAGAGUGCAGGAGAGGAAGGUAGAAUUCCCGGUGUAGCGGUGAAAUGCGUAGAGAUCGGGAGGAAUACCAGUGGCGAAGGCGGUCUUCUGGACUGACACUGACGCUGAGGUGCGAAAGCGUGGGUAGCAAACAGGAUUAGAUACCCCAGUAGUC
RNAcentral lists this ribosomal RNA (464 nucleotides) under Vreelandella stevensii. RNAcentral describes it as "partial 16S ribosomal RNA". It matches the Rfam family "Bacterial small subunit ribosomal RNA", at positions 338 to 795 of the family's 1533-position model. The record is from RNAcentral. Lineage: Bacteria; Pseudomonadati; Pseudomonadota; Gammaproteobacteria; Oceanospirillales; Halomonadaceae.